This 253-nucleotide ribosomal RNA is filed under the name uncultured bacterium. RNAcentral describes it as "partial 16S ribosomal RNA". It matches the Rfam family "Bacterial small subunit ribosomal RNA", at positions 524 to 776 of the family's 1533-position model. The record is from RNAcentral.
UACGUAGGGUGCAAGCGUUAAUCGGAAUUACUGGGCGUAAAGCGUGCGCAGGCGGGUUCUUAAGUCAGAUGUGAAAGCCCCGGGCUUAACCUGGGAACUGCGUUUGAAACUGGGAGACUUGAGUGUGGCAGAGGGGGGUGGAAUUCCACGUGUAGCAGUGAAAUGCGUAGAUAUGUGGAGGAACACCGAUGGCGAAGGCAGCCCCCUGGGUUAACACUGACGCUCAUGCACGAAAGCGUGGGGAGCAAACAGG